UAAAUAAAAUUUGUAUAAAAAUAUAGUAUAAUUUAUAAUUAAUAAAAAUAAUUUUAAUAUUUAAAGUUUAUGUAUAUUUUAUAGAUAAAAUAAUUGUAACAAUAGUUUAUAGUAUAGUAAUAGAAUAUUGAAAUAAAUAUAAUUAGUAAAAAAGUAAUUUUUAUUUAAUGUACCUUUUGUAUCAGGGUUUAUUAAAAAUAAUUUAUUAAAAAUAAAUUUCUCGAAUUUAAAAGAGCUAAAUUAAUAUAAAAUUUAUUGUAUUAAAAAUAUUUUAAAUAUUAUUUUAGUAAUGAAAAGUUAAUCGUUUUUAAAUAUAUCUAGUUUUUUAAGAAAUAAAUUUAAUUUAUUAUUAAUUUUAUAUUAAUUUAUUUAAAAAAUUUAAUAUAAAUUAAUAAAAAUUUUUUUAGGGAUGAGCUUAGAAAAAUUGAUUUAUAAAAUAAAAUUUUAAAUAAAAAAUAUAGAAUUAGAAAUUUUCAUUAUUAAUAAAAAUGUUAUAAUUUAUUAAAAAUUAUAAUUAAUUUAUUUAGUUUUUAAAUUAAUUAUUAAAAUAUUUAUUUAAAUAAAGAAAGUAAAGAAAUAAUGAUAAAAUUAGUAUUAAUUUAUAUAAAAAUAUAAGUUAUAUUUAGAUAAAUAUAAGGAAUUCAGCAAAAAUAAUAUUCACCUGUUUAUCAAAAACAUGUCUUUUUGAAAAUAAUAUAAAGUCUAACCUGCCCACUGAUUUUAUUAAAGGGCCGCGGUAUAUUGACUGUGCAAAGGUAGCAUAAUCAUUUGUCUUUUAAUUGAAGGCUAGAAUGAAUGGUUGAAUGAAAUAUUAACUGUCUCAUUUUUAAAAAUUUAAAAAUUUAGCUUUUAAGUUAAAAGGCUUAAAUAAAUUUAAAAGACGAGAAGACCCUAUAGAUCUUUAUAUUUAUUUAAAUUUUAUAAUUUUGAAAAAUAUUUAAUAAAAUUUAAAUAAAUAUUUUAUUGGGGUGAUAGGAAAAUUAAAAUAACUUUUCAUAAUUAUUAAACAUAGAUUUAUGAUUAAUUGAUCCAAUUUUAUUGAUUAUAAGAUUAAGUUACCUUAGGGAUAACAGCGUAAUUUUUUUAGAGAGUUCAUAUCGAUAAAAAAGAUUGCGACCUCGAUGUUGAAUUAAAAAUUAUUUCUAGAUGCAGAAGUUUAGAGUUUAGGUCUGUUCGACCUUUAAAUUUUUACAUGAUUUGAGUUCAGACCGGCGUAAGCCAGGUCGGUUUCUAUCUUUAAUUUGUUAAAAUAUUUUAGUACGAAAGGACCAAAUAUUUAAAAUAAUUUUUUUAUAUUGAAUAAUAUU
RNAcentral lists this ribosomal RNA (1307 nucleotides) under Nothochrysa sp. YTD-2015. RNAcentral's name for it is "16S ribosomal RNA". The stretch from base 1066 to 1225 matches the Rfam family "Archaeal large subunit ribosomal RNA", at positions 2542 to 2701 of the family's 2987-position model. The record is from RNAcentral. Lineage: Eukaryota; Metazoa; Arthropoda; Insecta; Neuroptera; Chrysopidae.